Carassius gibelio (silver crucian carp) is the source of this 555-nucleotide long non-coding RNA. RefSeq lists it as uncharacterized. The transcript is spliced from 4 exons. The record is from RefSeq and is a predicted model, not a curated record. NCBI's taxonomy places the organism in Eukaryota, Metazoa, Chordata, Actinopteri, Cypriniformes, Cyprinidae.
AUUGGCAACCCAUUCUCACUCCAAAGGCGUCAAAAACCGAAGCAUGGUCAAGCGCCCCUAGCGUCACUUUUAUGACGCCAAAUGUGCCUCUCGGCGUCGAAUAUCGAAGCACUACGACCUUCAUUGCUUUCAAUGGGAAACUUUUGGCGUCAGAAUUCGACACGAGGACAUGAGAUGUUUAUCGCUAUGAAAUCACGUUCAAGAAGUCUCAUUCAGCACACAUCGCGAUACUUGCUAUCAGUUCCACAGUUUGGCUGAAAAGACGUAAAGGCAGUCAGCCCAGUGGUGUUUCUGGAGAGGGAUUCCUUCAGAAAUGGAGAAGACAGAAAGCUGCGGAGGCAGAUAUAUGCAGCAGUCUAAAAUAUCAAGCUCAACAGCUCACUCAAGAGCCAACCCUCACAAACCUUCCUAAAAACUAAAAGAGCUAUUACUGAGUCUCAGCGAAUCUUGCCAUGAUCAGCUCUUCCCAGAAGAGAAGGAAGACCAAGGAAAUGAUUUGCUCAGGAUGAGGAAUGAAGACGGCCAUCUUGAGCUCAAACAAACAGAAGUCCUCUG